CCCCUGACCACUCCCCACUGCCCCAUCCAACCCCUUCUCUCCUUCCUGUCUCCCCCCCUCCCAGGAUCCCUGCCCCUAUUCAACCCCCGUUCCGCGCCCUCUGAACUCCCUGACCACCCCCUGAACUCCCCUGCCCUCUAUCCAAAACACACACACCCUGCUCCCUGCCCCCUUACUGCGCUGCCUGGAGCACUGGUGGCUGUCAGCAUAGCUGCACCAGGACAGGCAGCCACGCCGCACAGCAUAGAGCACUGGGUCAGGCCGGGCUCUGCAGCCCCACCGCCCAGAGUGUUGCGCCACACGGCAGCAUGGCUGUUGGGGAGAGGGGAAAGCGGACAGCCUCCUGGGCCAGGAGCUCGGGCAAGACGGUCUGCUUUAGUUUUCGGGUGAUAUGCUUUGUGACUAACUUCAGUUUUUAUAGUUCAGAUGUCAGUCUGUUGAAUUACUGGAUUAUGUUAAUUUUUGUUAAUAAUCAAAACAUCAUUAUUUGGCUAAUGAUGUAAAACUUAGAAAUAUUGGUUGAUCACAUUAUUGAUUUGGUGCAUCAUGAGGACUCCAUAAGGACAUAUUUUUGACCCAUAAAAGGUACAAAAGAUAAUUAGAGAAAUGUUUAGUUUUAGCCUUUUUAAGGAAUGAGUGUAAUAAUCAAAGCUCACAUUUUAGUUAUUUAUUAUGUGUAGAAUCAUAGAAUAUCAGGGUUGGAAGGGACCUCAGAAGAUCAUCUAGUCCAAGCCCCUGCUCAAAGCAGGACCGAUCCCCAACUAAAUCAUCCCAGCCAGGGCUUUGUCAAGCCUGACCUUGAAAACCAUAAUAGAAAUGCCUAGGGCUUCAAUCAGUUUUCAAGAACCCUGUUGUACAAACAAAUAACCAGUCUGUCCCUGCCUCAAAGAGCUCACCAUUUAGGUUAAGGAGAAGACACAACAGGUGGGUGAGUGAGAGAAUGGGAAACAAGAUAAAAAUAAAAGAAACAUGUCUUGAGUAAUAGGCAAUAGGUUCAACUCACCAGCUGCCCAGCUGUUAGUGUUUUGUAUGAAGUCUUUAUAACAUACAGGUACCAGUAUUUCACUGGUGAAAGAAGAUCAGUAUGCCACAGUCAGCCUUCCUUUUCAGAUUACAUUUAAAAAUGCUGCAUUCUGGGGGUUUGAUCCAUGGCCUUAAUAAGUACUAAGUACUAAGAAGUUUUCACAGAAGUAAAUUGCAGCCCUACCUGCAUAGGGACAAAUUUUGCAACCUCAAAUUAUCAUGAAUUGCAGUUGUCAUUCUCUGACCAGCUCAAGUUGUAAAAUAAAGCAGCUCCUUUCUUUCUCUUUCACCUGAUCUCUAUAUAUGUUGCCAUGACUAAUACAAUUUCCAGUCAUGUUUUCAGUAGUCUGAGACCCUUAUUCUGUAACCUGGGCCUUGCACCCUGGUAUCUUUUUUGGAUUCUUUUGUUUUUAGUCUGGGUUGCAUAAGGCAGUCUUCAACUGUAAAGAUGCUCAUUGACUUCAAGCUUUGAAUAGCACCUUGAGUGAGUUAUUGCUGCAAGAAGCAGCAACUUGUUCUAACGUGUUCUACCAUUCUUGGCCAAAUGAGUUUUCUGGUUGUCAGGAAGAAUAGGAGUAAUUUUAUGAAGAAAUUCUUCCAUGACAUUAUAUUUUUGCUGGCAGUAUUUAACAUCAUCACAGAUAUCACAAAAUUCAAUUAAAAUGAGCAGAAAGUUAGUAAUGUUCAGUAAUGGAAAUCUUUGAAAUUGGCAAUUUCAAAAUUGUUAUGUGGCAUUAUUCCAUCUUGUCUUUUCCCUGACAUAUACCAUGAUAUCAGUUCAAUUCCCCUUGGGUGAAAAAGUUCAUAAAUACAUAAAUAAAAUGGCAUCCAAUUUACAUCCUGUCAAAAGCUUAUUUGAAUAACAUGCAUGUUUAUUACCUAAAUAAUGUUAAUCUAGAGUCUGAUAAUAUGAAGAUCAUUUUAACCUAUUGCAAAAGAUCUCUAACACAUUAUUUCAGUCAACUUCUCAGUAGAACAUGGCAACCAUUUAACAGUGUGUAGUAGCUCUAGAUAGUUUAGGAUGGAAAUGAAGAACACUUCAACAAUUGGAUCUGUACGCAGAUACAGUAUAAUUUUCUAAAUUAAUAUUUUGGCAAGGAUGCUGGUAAUAUCCUCACUACCUCCCUUCCUGCAAAAAGUGCUGUGGAAGUUUUUAAUCUCCACACAUGGUCAAGAGUUAGAGCCAAGCUGGAACACUGGUUCAGUAAUGUUCUAAAAAGGGGAUUACUGAAACAUAUCACUACUACUUCCUGCAGCAUGCUGGGUUUUCCCUGGAGGUCUUCUACUUGAUAUUGGUAAGCUCUGACACUACUUAUCUGAGAAGAUCAGUUUGAGGGGUUAUGGGAAUACAUUGUUUGGUUCUGAUAAAUCGAUUGAAGAUCAAAUUGCAUAUUCUAACUUUUUCUGAAGUUGAUUUCCAUAAUACUAUGCAUUCUGAAAAUCGUGAUCGGCACAACAUAAUAUGUUCACUGAAAGGAAUUUUCUGUUGUCUUUACUGACUCAGAGUAUGUCACGAAAGCAACUAACAAGAUGAAAGUAGAGUUGGUCAGAACAUUUUCAAAACAUUUUUCAUCAAAAAGUACUGUUUAUCAAGUUAAACAAUAAGGCUUCUGAGGUUCACAGUAGGCAAGAAGGGAGACACAUGAACCAAAUACCUGAUUUUCUUGAUCCAAAAGCCAAUGAUUCAACACAGUUCCGUUUUGCAAAAUGGUCAAAAGAUUUUCUUCCAGUGGGUAAAAAAACCAACAAAUUUUGAAACCUCAAAUUAUCAUGAAAUGCAGUUGUCAUUCUCUGACCAGCUCAAGUUGUAAAAUAAAGCAGCUCCUUUCCCUCUCUUUCACCCUCACCAUCCUAAACACCACUUGAGCCAAAUUCAUCCCUAGGAUUAGUGGAAAUAAUUCCCAUUGAGUCACUGGAAAUUGGACACAUUUAUAGCAGGAUACCAAACCUGUGCAUAUUACAGUGUUGUCAGUUAUUCUUUCCUGAUCAACUUAUAUAUCUAACGUCUCUGGCACUUCCAUCACUACUGAAUUUGGCCCUUAGUUUGAAAUAUACACUGAAUACUGAAACACCCAAAGCAAUGGCUAAAAUGCCAAGUUUUUAUUUAAAAAAAAUGUCUAGGUUGGUUGGCUACAAACUUUACACAUGUAAAACUUUCUUGUCAUCUUAGUUCAUGUGAUUAUAUGAAUAAUUUUCAUUCUUUAACAGGAUGUAUUAGACA
Long non-coding RNA from Dermochelys coriacea (leatherback sea turtle), 3244 nucleotides. RefSeq lists it as uncharacterized. The record is from RefSeq and is a predicted model, not a curated record. The transcript is spliced from 2 exons. Lineage: Eukaryota; Metazoa; Chordata; Testudines; Dermochelyidae.